RNAcentral lists this long non-coding RNA (473 nucleotides) under Salvia miltiorrhiza (redroot sage). RNAcentral describes it as "long non-coding RNA (SMIL_LNC011583)". Lineage: Eukaryota; Viridiplantae; Streptophyta; Magnoliopsida; Lamiales; Lamiaceae. The record is from RNAcentral.
UUUAUUCCUUGGAGUCUUGAAUGUGAAAAGGGGUAAAUUAAUCUAUGUUCAUAGGUGUUCGUUAGAGAAGCUUGUGAAUAAUAUAGUGAUAUUUAAUCAGGGUUGGAUUAAAUUGGUAAUUGAAUUAAUAGAUUGAAUGCAUGUGUUUGAGUAACGAUAGUACAUCCCUAGGGCCAGAGUUUUUUUUUAUUAUUAUUUGAGUUUUUAUUCUGUUUUAUUUUGUUUUGUUUGGAUUUUAGUUUUAUUUUUCGUUCUUUUGGGAGUUUGCCUGGAUACUAUUAGAGUUUACUCGGGAUUACUUGAGUGAUUUUAUAAUAGUCUUGGAUACGAUACUCGACUUGUGUUUCUGUGCUACGAUUGCACUGUUUAGUUGCAGUUUUUGUUGCUAUAAAAAUAGUGAUCAUUAGUGUAUGUUUGAUAGACCUUAUAAAUUUAGAUAAUUAAAUAAUAUGAAAUAUUUAUAUGUUUGGUAU